AGAAAAGUUAUCUAAGAAAAAGAACUGAAUUUUUCUCCGGCUAAAACGGAAUUUUUGUUUGACAAUGUGAAACAAAAGUAUUGUCAAUAUUUUCAGAAAAGUCAAAGUAUGACUAUGUUAUUACUGACUGAAUGGUGAAGGACAACAUCAAACCCACUAGAAUUAACUCUAGACACUAGAAGGAGCAAACUAAAAAUACUAAAGGCAUUCAGUCUGACCACACAGCCCAAUUUCUUACAGAGGCACAGGCCAAACAUUUUGUAGAGGAUGGAUUAAUUAAAUGCACUCCAAUAUAUGACU
Molecule: long non-coding RNA, 300 nt
Organism: Octopus sinensis (East Asian common octopus)
Lineage: Eukaryota; Metazoa; Mollusca; Cephalopoda; Octopoda; Octopodidae
Exons: 2
Source: RefSeq, a predicted model, not a curated record